CCUACGGGUGGCUGCAGUAGGGAAUCUUCCGUAAUGGACGAACGUAUGACGGAGCAACGCCGCGUGAGCGAAGAAGGUCUUCGGAUCGUAAAGCUCUGUUGUUAGGGAAGAACAAGUAGGGGCGGAAAUGACCGUACCUUGACGGUACCUGAAGAGGAAGCCACGGCUAACUAAGUGCGAGCAGCCGCGGUAAGACGUAGGUGGCAAGCGUUGUCCGGAAUUAUUGGAAGGAAAGCGCGAGCAGGAGGUCUUUUAAGUCUGAUGUGAUAUCUUGCGGCUCAAUCGCAAGCGGUCAUUAGAAACUGGGAGCAUUGAGUGCAGAAGAGGAAAGCGUAAUUCCACGUGUAGCGGUGAAAUGCGUAGUGAUCUUGAGGAACACCAGUAGCGAAGGCUGCUUUCUGGUCUGUAACAGACGCUGAGGCGCGAAAGCGUGAGGGGCAAACAGUAUUAGAUACCCGAGUAGUC
This 465-nucleotide ribosomal RNA is filed under the name uncultured bacterium. Its description in RNAcentral is "bacterial SSU rRNA". It matches the Rfam family "Bacterial small subunit ribosomal RNA", at positions 338 to 795 of the family's 1533-position model. The record is from RNAcentral.